ACGGGAGGCAGCAGUGGGGAAUAUUGGGCAAUGGGCGAAAGCCUGACCCAGCAACGCCGCGUGAAGGAAGAAGGUCUUCGGAUUGUAAACUUCUUUUAUGAGGGACGAAGGACGUGACGGUACCUCAUGAAUAAGCCACGGCUAACUACGUGCCAGCAGCCGCGGUAAUACGAGGGGUGCAAGCGUUGUUCGGAAUCACUGGGCGUAAAGGGAGCGCAGGCGGAGAUGCAAGCGGACUGUACAAUACCGGGGCCCAACCCCGGACCUGCAGUCCGGACUGCACCUCUUGGAUAGUUCAGGGGCAAGCGGAAUUCCUGGUGUAGCGGUGGAAUGCGUAGAGAUCAGGAAGAACACCGAUGGCGAAGGCAGCUUGCUGGGGACUAAUCGACGCUCAUGCUCGAAAGUGCGGGUAGCAAACAGGAUUAGAUACCCUGGUA
This 437-nucleotide ribosomal RNA is filed under the name uncultured Fibrobacter sp. Its description in RNAcentral is "partial 16S ribosomal RNA". It matches the Rfam family "Bacterial small subunit ribosomal RNA", at positions 341 to 792 of the family's 1533-position model. Lineage: Bacteria; Pseudomonadati; Fibrobacterota; Fibrobacteria; Fibrobacterales; Fibrobacteraceae. The record is from RNAcentral.